This 492-nucleotide ribosomal RNA is filed under the name uncultured bacterium. RNAcentral's name for it is "partial 16S ribosomal RNA". It matches the Rfam family "Bacterial small subunit ribosomal RNA", at positions 29 to 507 of the family's 1533-position model. The record is from RNAcentral.
AGUGAACGCUGGCGGCAGGCCUAAUACAUGCAAGUCGAACGGCAGCACAGUAAGAUUUCGCCCCUACGGGUGGCGGCUGGCGGAUGGGUGACGCAUACAUCGGAAUCUUCUUUUUCGGGGGGGACUACGUAGGGCAACAUAUGCUAACACCGCAUACGAUCUACGGGAUAAAGCAGGGGAGCUUCGGACUUUUCGCGACUGAUUGAGCUGAUGUCGGACUAGCUAGUUGGCUGGGUAAAGGCCCACCAAGGCAACGAUCCGUAGCUGGUCUGAGAGGAUGAUCGGCCACACUGGAACUGAGACACGGUCCAGACUCCUACGGGAGGCAGCAGUGGGGAAUAUUGGGCAAUGGGCGAAAGCCUGAUCCAGCCAUACCGCGUGGGUGAUGAAGGCCUUCGGGUUGUAAAGCCCUUUUGUUGGGAAAGAAAAGCAGCAGAUUAAAACGCCGAUAUUCUGACGGUACCCAAAGAGUAAGCACCGGCUAACUUCGUG